Molecule: ribosomal RNA, 253 nt
Filed under: uncultured bacterium
Lineage: Bacteria
Description: partial 16S ribosomal RNA
Rfam family: Bacterial small subunit ribosomal RNA
Source: RNAcentral
UACGUAGGGUGCGAGCGUUGUCCGGAAUUAUUGGGCGUAAAGAGCGCGCAGGCGGUCUGACAAGUCAGAUGUGAAAGAGGCCGGCUUAACCGGCAAGGGUCAUUUGAAACUGUCAGGCUAGAGUGCAGCAGAGGAUAGUGGAAUUCCCGGUGUAGUGGUGAAAUGCGUAGAUAUCGGGAGGAACACCAGUGGCGAAGGCGACUAUCUGGGCUGCAACUGACGCUGAGGCGCGAAGGCUAGGGUAGCAAACAGG